Molecule: long non-coding RNA, 816 nt
Filed under: Ananas comosus (pineapple)
Lineage: Eukaryota; Viridiplantae; Streptophyta; Magnoliopsida; Poales; Bromeliaceae
Description: long non-coding RNA (ACOM_LNC036635)
Source: RNAcentral
AUUAAAAAAGAGAAAAGGAGAGAGUGGAUUUAACCAAUUGUCUUAAAUAAUGUUUGAUGAUUGGGAAAUAAGAAUUUUUUUUUUGCUUAUUGGUAGUACAACUAUAAUUUGUGAAAUAAGUAGUAGCUAGACGAACCGACUGUCCCUAGAACAAGUGGCAAAAAAUUUAGUGGUUGGUAUCCGCCACUACAACAAAAACGGUCUAUAGCGAUACUUUUAAAUAUAGGUACAUGUCAAAAAAGUGCUGCUAGCUAAAAUUACCGACACUUUUAAAAAGUGUUGCUAUAUAUGGAAUCGCUAGGUAUAUAGUGACAGUUAAAGAGUGUCGCUAUAACCUAAAAAAGUGCUGCUAAUUUACCAACACUUAUUUAAGCAUUUAGCAACUGCCGAAACUCUAUCUCGUUGGUUGCGGUGGCGGAGAAGGACAACAGUAAAGGCUCUUCGUCUAGAAUUUCAGUGGAUUGAGUGAAGAGAAAAAAAAAGAUGGUAAUUGAUUUUUCUUUUUUUUUUUCUUUUCUGUUUGUAAUCGGGCUAAAUAGACUGGGUGUUGUGGGUUGAGUAUAGUAAACUUUUAUUUUUGGUUGGAUUGGGCUUUAUAUUUAGGCAUUAGUAGAUGUGUUUUUAAGUUUUAGCAUAAAUGGAACAUUUACUCAAAAGUGUUCCAAACAUAUGUCUCUAUAAUCUAAUUCUGUUAUAGUGCCGAGAUUCUAAGUUCGAAUCCUAGUUGAUUUAUAUUUCCAGCUAAAUUUAUUUUUAAAUAAAAUAAACGAAACGGAUAACAUGCUACCUAUCUCUCAGAAAAAAAGAAAAAAAAAA